CGCUGGCGGCGUGCCUAAUACAUGCAAGUCGAGCGAACUGAUUAGAAGCUUGCUUCUAUGACGUUAGCGGCGGACGGGUGAGUAACACGUGGGCAACCUGCCUGUAAGACUGGGAUAACUUCGGGAAACCGAAGCUAAUACCGGAUAGGAUCUUCUCCUUCAUGGGAGAUGAUUGAAAGAUGGUUUCGGCUAUCACUUACAGAUGGGCCCGCGGUGCAUUAGCUAGUUGGUGAGGUAACGGCUCACCAAGGCAACGAUGCAUAGCCGACCUGAGAGGGUGAUCGGCCACACUGGGACUGAGACACGGCCCAGACUCCUACGGGAGGCAGCAGUAGGGAAUCUUCCGCAGUGGACGAAAGUCUGACGGAGCAACGCCGCGUGAGUGAUGAAGGCUUUCGGGUCGUAAAACUCUGUUGUUAGGGAAGAACAAGUACAAGAGUAACUGCUUGUACCUUGACGGUACCUAACCAGAAAGCCACGGCUAACUACGUGCCAGCAGCCGCGGUAAUACGUAGGUGGCAAGCGUUAUCCGGAGUUAUUGGGGCGUAAAGCGCGCGCAGGCGGUUUCUUAAGUCUGAUGUGAAAGCCCACGGCUCAACCGUGGAAGGUCAUUGGAAACUGGGGAACUUGAGUGCAGAAGAAGAAAGCGGAAUUCCACGUUUACCGGUGAAAUGCGUAGA
This 680-nucleotide ribosomal RNA is filed under the name unidentified bacterium B7. RNAcentral describes it as "bacterial SSU rRNA". It matches the Rfam family "Bacterial small subunit ribosomal RNA", at positions 34 to 694 of the family's 1533-position model. The record is from RNAcentral.